Molecule: long non-coding RNA, 2727 nt
Organism: Trichomycterus rosablanca
Lineage: Eukaryota; Metazoa; Chordata; Actinopteri; Siluriformes; Trichomycteridae
Exons: 2
Source: RefSeq, a predicted model, not a curated record
AACUCCAGCGCUCGAGCCGGCUGACGGCGAUCAGGAGAUGACCGAGGAGGAAUGGAGCCUGCGAGUGGCUGAACUCAACAAACAUCAGGAGACUGUGGAGAAGAUAAAGUCCAGCACUAAAGAGGCUUAAAGGAGCGAAGAUGAGAAGGUUCCUCUGUAAUCGAAAGAUCAGGAUUGCUUAAUAAAACUAGAAGAACCUCAACAUGUAUUACUUUAUCUUUUAUUACUUUGCUGUGUAACCUUAAUUUUUAUCUAUUCUUUGGUUGAUUUGUGUGUAGCUCACAUUAGCCUGUAGCUCAAGUCUUUAUGUUUUAUGUUUGUUUGUCACUAAGUGCUUCGUUUUAUACUCGAUAUCAUUUGAAGCCUCGCGAGGCGCCUCGGCACUUUGUUUGGGAGCUGUUUUGCAUCGUUGUUUUUAUUAAUUGUCAUUAUUUUAUUUGUCUUUUUAGAUUUAGAUUGUACAUAUAUACAUUACAUGUGUUGCUUUUGAUCGAGACAAUGGCAGUAGAUGAAGGAGACGAGCAGUGGAGGAAGACUGGCAGGACUGGCGAAGGUUAUGAUGAUAUGGUUUGGUAAUCUAAUCCAGGUAGAUACGCUCCUUCUGUUAUCAGGAUAACAGCAGAUUAUAAAGUAGAGAGCAGCGCCGUCAGCUCAGUCUCCCUUCGCACAAGCUCUAUCCGCAGUCAUAGUCUUGAGACCUUUCGAAAAGGUGCUAAUAUGUACUUUUCUGUUCACAGUGUGAUCCUCUUGCAUCAGCAUGCUAUUAUUCCAGGACUAUUGGAUGAUUAUUCUGCACUGAACUUUUACUACGCUCAUUUACUUAGCUCUUAUAUGAAACAUCUGUGGUUCAGCAUCUUAUUUCGGCUGUGUUCCAUUUGGAUGCAAAAAAAAAGUCUACCUGUGAAUUUCUCCUGUGAACUUUAUCUAGUCAGGAUCAGAACCUGGUGCGUUGGAUGCAUUGUCAUCUCAAAAGAGACCAUUCACGAUCGAGUGAUCAGUCGAUAUCCUGUAAUGGACUGGCGACGUGUCUAAGGUGUUUUCUAUGUUUCACCCCAUAUAUCUGACCCAGUGUGACCCUGAACAGGAUAAAGAGGCAGUAAAACAGCCAAUCAGGCAGUAGUUGUAUUGAUUUGCGGCGACUCUUCUUCCCCUACAGUGACAGGUGGACCCAAACCAUGCCUUCCUGUCAACGUCAUUACAUUAUUCUCCUCUUGCCAUCUUGGAUAAAGAGUUAAUAAUGUAAUAGUCUGCCUGGAAAUAAAAAUCACUCAUUAAUUUAGGUUUAGGUAACAUUUUAUCAAUAGGAAACAAAUUCAGUUUGUUCAAAUGUUCAGUUGGUCCACAUACCAGACACCAGGCCCAGUUUUUAAGCCGGAUACCUUUCCUGAAGCAACCCACCUAUUUCUAUCCAUGCUUGGACCAGCACUGAGAGCGCACUGACAAGUGCGUCUUCCAAUGGCUUGGCUGUUUCGGCCAUCCACUGUCCUCGGACAUUGGACCAUCAUAUCCAUGCAGACACCUGACUGACCAAUAGCACUGCUGAUAUUCGAACUCUGGAUCACCCAAAUCUAGCAGUAGUGGGCUAGCAUAAUUCACAGCACUAGUCUGUCCAUAAAAUUGGUAAAACUAUCUAUGGUGUUAGAUUUCUAAGUAGGGCAGCUGGUGGUGCAAUGAAAAAACAUUUACCCUAUCGCAAGUUAUAAUCCAGACAAUAUCUGAAUAAUAGCUAUCCACAGGAGGUGUGACGUUCCUUUUUUACGUGACCAGAAGAAGGUGGAUGGACUCUUCCUCCAAGACUAGAUGGGUAAAAAAAAUCAUGAUUGUUAGCAUCAGUUUAAAUUGGUAUCAUCUGUCUUACUUUAUUCAUUAUUGUUACACCUGAAUUAAUGUUCUUUAGCUAUUAAAUCUAAAUUAAGAUGCUUUAAAUUGUCACCAGAAACGUUUUCCUUUUUUAAAGUGGCAGUUGUCAGCAUUUCUUUCUGUAAAGACAUGAAUACUUUGACAGCACAGAUGAAUCUGCUUUGUUUCUUUUUAUGUUAAGCUGAGCUGCUUUAUCAGACGUAGUUAAAGCUUUAUCGCUGUUUUUAUAUCGUCUGAGAAGACGAAGAGAAAAAGCAAAGUGAUCCGACCAGCUGAACUUGUGCUUGAAAGCUCAGCAGUAUUAGAUAACGUGUGCAGGUUGAUUCAGGAUGAUUGUUCUGUUUGAUUGUGCUUCUUGGUACCAAGCAGAUGGAGAGCAGUACGAAACCAAAGUCUAAUGUGUAGAGCUUCGAUAUUAUGCAGAUCCUCUGGACCCAGCAACACCAUCAUACCUUUUAUUUCAGAGUUCAUCAGCUGUGACGUGUUUGUACUGACUGUACUGACCAGACGUGACUGCUGAGUGUUAAUCUGUGUAUGCUGUGAGACUUUGCGCUUGCUUUUCUCUUUUAUAUCUCUAACAGUGUAUGAUACUGAGUGCCUUAAAUUUACACGUUUAUACGUCUGCUGAUGGACUCGCCUUUUCUUACGUCUAACCACAAAUUGUAAGACUCCUUGACGAACUUUGCAGUAUUAUAUAAUGUACGCCUGAACUUGUCCUGGAUGACUGAUUGCACUCGUCAUUUCAUAUCAGCUGGGAGAGAAUUCAGUCAUUUCAGUGAAAGACUAUCUUGUUUUAGUUAUAUUUAAAUGUACUUGUAUUAUUACUAUUGGUUAUGUACUGUGUGUCAAUAAAAUGUAUUUCCAAUA